GGGUCAGUAGGUUGGUCGUGCCACCGGUACGUACUGGUCUCACUGACUCCUCCUUCCUGAAGAACCGUAAUGCCAUUAAUUUGGUGUUGCGGGGAAACAGGACUGUUACUUUGAAAAAGUUAGAGUGUUUAAAGCAAGCUAACGCUUGAAUACAUUAGCAUGGAAUAAUGAAAUAGGACGAUCGAUCCUAUUUUGUUGGUUUCUAGGAUUGACGUA
RNAcentral lists this ribosomal RNA (216 nucleotides) under Glomeromycotina sp. RNAcentral's name for it is "partial small subunit ribosomal RNA". The stretch from base 75 to 216 matches the Rfam family "Eukaryotic small subunit ribosomal RNA", at positions 721 to 864 of the family's 1831-position model. Lineage: Eukaryota; Fungi; Glomeromycota. The record is from RNAcentral.